Gallus gallus (chicken) is the source of this 1999-nucleotide long non-coding RNA. The record is from Ensembl. NCBI's taxonomy places the organism in Eukaryota, Metazoa, Chordata, Aves, Galliformes, Phasianidae.
AUUUAGCCAAGAUGGCCUUUGAAGUAUGUUGUGGGAAACAGUUGGAGGUCUGCUGUCACUGACUAUUAAGGGACUCUGAAGAUUUUCCAGCAGAAGAAUUUUUCUCAGCAGAAGAAUCAAUUUUUUGUUUGUUUGUUUGUUUUGUACCAAAAAUACAAAAAUACGUGAAGUAGUAUGAUGCUGGCAACAUUUCUUCUUGAAACGUUAUUCUGUAGUUCUGCAGGUAGCAGAAUGCAGCACCUGUUGCCUGGAUCUAAGAUGUGAGGUGACAACACUGCACUUACCAAGUCCAUGCCACACUUCAACUGAAGCAGAUGGAAAACUAAGCACUGUGAGUGUCAGGUCUGCUCAUUGAGGUGGUGUGGGGCAGCAGGGCAUCACACGCAUACUUUGCUAGAUCGAUAGUUUCUACAUGUUUAAGUCAAUAGGACUGAGGACUUGAACCUCAGGAUUCUCUUAAGAAAACGGGAAUGUUAGUAUACCUCCUGAGUGUCCUAACUGAUGUUAGCCUCUGAUAUAUUACUCACAUGAAAGUAAGGAUCUCCCACAGGUGACAGACACAGAUGACCUGCUCAAGUAAAAUCUUACCUUUAUGUCUAAUAUUGAAGAUCAGCCAAGAUAAAAGCAGGAAGAACAGAAACUUUAUGAACUUGGUGGGCCACUUUUCUUGAUGGCAAGACUUUUGAGAUCCCAAGAUGGAAAAUGAAAGUUUUAUCCACGCUAUUAUGUCGUGUUACAUGCACAUAUAUCGACUGAUACUUAUACUGAUGAAAUAUAGUAUAUUGCACAGAUGACCAUCUCUCUCUAAUCUGCCCCAGUGAGGCCACAUCUGGAGUACUGUGUCCAGUUCUGGGUUCCUCAGUUCAAAAAUGACAGGGAUCUUCUAGACAGUCCAGAAGAGGGCCACAAAGAUGAUUAGAGGCCUAGAGCAUCUCCCGCACAAGGAAACACUGAGAGGCCUAGUACUCAUCAGUCUGGAGAAGGCAGAAAGGGGAUGUCAUCACUGAUUAUAAAUAUCUGAAGGGUGGGAGUGAAACCAAUGGGGGUGGGCACUUUUCAGUGGUGUACAGCAAUAGAACAGGGGCAAUGGAUAGAAACUGGAAAAAAAAAAAAGGAAGUUCUGUACAAACACAAGGAAGAAAUUCUUUGCUGUGAGGGUGACGGAGCACUGGAACAGACUGCCCAGAGAAGUUGUGGAGUCUCCUUCUCCAGAGAUCUUCAAGACCCGUCUGGAUGCCAACCUGAGUGACUUACUGUAGGAAACCUGCUUUAGCAGGAUGCUGGACUUGAUGAUUUCCAACAGUCCCUUCCAAACCCUGCAAUCCUGUGAUUCUGUGAUUUAUUAUGAAUAAACCAAACCAUUACUAGUAUAAUAGCAAUUUAAAAUGUUGGUACAUGAUGCAUAUGUAUUGUAUAAAUUUUCAAGUCUACAUUAUCUUACAAGUGAUUUGUUCUGUCUGACAAGAAAAUAACAUUCAACAUAAAAUCUAGUAGAUAUAUUUAGUAUGAAACUUAGCAUCUCUCCUAAGCUGAAAUAUAUGUCAUUCAGUAUUAUUAUCAACACAGAAGUUCUCCAUACCUAAUGGAUUUACCUAUAGCACUUAUACUAGUAAACAUAUCACUAUCAUUCUUAAUUUCUCUUAAUAUUUCAGAUGUUCAACUGAUAAAAUGUAUUGGCAGUCCAAAUUCUUUUAGAAAUAAUAAUAUUUAGCUUAUCUGCUGCAUAAACAAAAUUCAACUGGGAGUAGAAACUCAUCAUAUUGGUGCUAUGUAUAGAAUAAGGCAGUCCAUAACAACUCAAAUUUACAGUCUAGACUGCGCAUAGUGAGUGCCAAAUAAAUGAAACUGCACUGUCCUAGUUUUACGACUGGGGAAAAUGUAGACAAAAAGACAGUUUGUGUGUUUUAUUAAAUAUAAUGCAGAUGCAGUGAUCUGGACUUCAUCCUGCAAAAUAGUGGACCAAGAGGAGUUUUCAUUCCCAGUAAGAAUGUGGAACUUA